GCAGAACUGGAGAUUGAACCCAAAGCCUCAUGCUGGUUCACAGUGGCCCAACACCCGGGCCACAUCCCCAGCCCAAGUCUCUAUAGUUUUAAUUACUCAUCUGAAUCUUAAAGCAGAUUUGUAUGGACACAAGUGGCAUGCACUCCAGAAAGGGGUCAUCUCUGAGAGACAGGAGGUAUCAUUCUUCUUCAACUGGGCCCCCAACCAUAAAUCAAAGGGACUCAUGGUCUCCCAAUAAACACAUCCGUAUGUUGAUCUGAACUCGUUGGAAAUCUGUAUUGGAAUGAACAGAUGUUUUCAGAGGAGCCCUGCUGUCUGAGGAGUGGUGGCUACUACUCAUGAAAUGCCAAGACUAAAAACGCUGAGUUAUCUGCCAUGUGGCAUCGCCCCCACCCUGGAAACCUUCACCAGGCUCCCAUCUGUUCCACAAAGAUAAAUUAGAGCUAGAAAAUAAGUGGUAAAUUCAGCUAGAUAACCUGUGUUGUGUGUAUUUUUUUUUUUUUUUUUUUGGUACCUGGGAUCGAACUCGGGUCCUUGCGCUUACAAGGCAGGCCACCGAACUGCUAAGCUAAACCCCCA
Molecule: long non-coding RNA, 579 nt
Filed under: Fukomys damarensis (Damara mole-rat)
Lineage: Eukaryota; Metazoa; Chordata; Mammalia; Rodentia; Bathyergidae
Description: lncRNA (ENSFDAG00000022821.1)
Source: RNAcentral